Molecule: ribosomal RNA, 445 nt
Filed under: uncultured bacterium
Lineage: Bacteria
Description: bacterial SSU rRNA
Rfam family: Bacterial small subunit ribosomal RNA
Source: RNAcentral
GUGAGGAAUAUUGGUCAAUGGGCGCAAGUCUGAACCAGCCAUGCCGCGUGCAGGAAGACGGUCCUAUGGAUUGUAAACUGCUUUUAUUUGGGAAUAAACUCCGGUACGUGUACCGGCCUGAAGGUACCAAAUGAAUAAGCACCGGCUAACUCCGUGCCAGCAGCCGCGGUAAUACGGAGGGUGCAAGCGUUAUCCGGAAUCAUUGGGUUUAAAGGGUCCGCAGGCGGUCUUAUAAGUCAGUGGUGAAAGCCUACAGCUCAACUGUAGAACUGCCAUUGAUACUGUAGGACUUGAAUUCGAUCGAAGUGGGCGGAAUGUGACAUGUAGCGGUGAAAUGCUUAGAUAUGUCACAGAACACCGAUAGCGAAGGCAGCUCACUAGGUCUGGAUUGACGCUCAGGGACGAAAGCGUGGGGAGCAAACAGGAUUAGAUACCCCUGUAGUCC